AAUUAAUUAGUUUAAAAUGAAAAUAUAGUUUUGAAGAGACUGAGAUUAUUUAAUUA
RNAcentral lists this transfer RNA (56 nucleotides) under Meloidogyne graminicola. Its description in RNAcentral is "transfer RNA-Phe (GAA)". Lineage: Eukaryota; Metazoa; Nematoda; Chromadorea; Rhabditida; Meloidogynidae. RNAcentral also lists the same sequence under 1 other name. The record is from RNAcentral.